AUGCCGCUUGUCAGCCUGCUGUGGGCAGUCGUGGUGUCCACCUGUCUUGGAUCCAGCACAGCCCAGACGGUCACUCAGACUCAACCAGAUAUGCAUGUGCGGGAGACAGAGACUGUGACCCUGCACUGCACGUAUGACACCAGCGACAGUAAUUAUUAUUUGUUCUGGUACAAACAGCCUCCCAGCGGGGAGAUGAUUCUCAUUAUUCGCCAAGAAGCUUAUAAGCAAGAGAAUGCAACAAAGGAUCGCUUCUCUGUGAACUUCCAGAAACCAAAAAAAUCCUUCAGUCUCAGGAUCUCAGACUCCCAGCUGGAGGAUGCUGCAAUGUAUUUCUGUGCUCUCAUUGAAGGCACAGUGACAUGA
Non-coding RNA from Mirounga angustirostris (Northern elephant seal), 363 nucleotides. NCBI's taxonomy places the organism in Eukaryota, Metazoa, Chordata, Mammalia, Carnivora, Phocidae. The record is from the annotation of a RefSeq genome assembly.